CCCUUAGAUGUCCUGGGCCGCACGCGUGCUACACUGACGCAUACAGCGAGCACUUUCCAGUUCCGAGAGGCUACUGGUAAUCAUCAAUAUGCGUCGUGAUGGGGAUAGAUCUUUGGAAUUCUGGAUCUUGAACGAGGAAUGCCUAGUAAUCGCAGGUCAUUAGCCUGCGAUGAUUAAGUCCCUGCCCUUUGUACACACCGCCCGUCGCUACUACCGAUUUCGAGUGGUCAGGUGAAUCUUUCGGACUGUGGGCGCCCUUGAGGUGUUCGCGGAAAGUCAGGUAAAUCUUAUCACUUAGAGGAUGUAAAANUCGUAACA
This 318-nucleotide ribosomal RNA is filed under the name uncultured eukaryote. Its description in RNAcentral is "partial 18S ribosomal RNA". It matches the Rfam family "Eukaryotic small subunit ribosomal RNA", at positions 1470 to 1796 of the family's 1831-position model. The record is from RNAcentral.